UACGUAGGGUGCAAGCGUUAAUCGGAAUUACUGGGCGUAAAGCGUGCGCAGGCGGUUUGCUAAGACCGAUGUGAAAUCCCCGGGCUCAACCUGGGAACUGCAUUGGUGACUGGCAGGCUAGAGUAUGGCAGAGGGGGGUAGAACUCCACGUGUAGCAGUGAAAUGCGUAGAGAUGUGGAGGAACACCGAUGGCGAAGGCAGCCCCCUGGGUCAAGACUGACGCUCAUGCACGAAAGCGUGGGGAGCAAACAGG
This 253-nucleotide ribosomal RNA is filed under the name uncultured bacterium. RNAcentral describes it as "partial 16S ribosomal RNA". It matches the Rfam family "Bacterial small subunit ribosomal RNA", at positions 524 to 776 of the family's 1533-position model. The record is from RNAcentral.